AAAUGGUUCUCAAACUCAAUCCCAAGGGAUUGGUACUGUCCAAAUUCUACCUUCAAUUUCAGUUGACUCUGUUCUCUAUGUACCUGGUUGUCCAUUUAAUCUUCUUUCAGUCAAUCGUCUAACUCGUUCUCUUGAUUGUAUUAUUACUUUCACUAAUAGUAAUGUUACCUUGCAGGAUCGGAGUUCGGGACGAACGAUUGGCGUCGGAUGUGAGUCUCAAGGCCUUUACUACCUAUCUUUGUCAUCAAAAACAUGCUCCGCCACAGAUUCCUCACUUACAAUCCAUGCUCAGCUGGGUCAUCCAAGUCUUCCCAAACUUCAGAAGUUGGUGCCAAGUUUAUCUAAGUUGUCCGGUCUACAUUGUGAGUCGUGUCAGUUAGGGAAACACACUCGUAGUAACUUUCCCGAUAGAGUCAAUAAACGAGCUUCGUCCCCUUUUGCUUUAGUUCGCUCCGAUGUUUGGGGUCCAUCUCGUACUAUGUCUACUUUACAAUCAAAAUAUUUUGUUACUUUUAUUGAUGAUUUUUCUCGUUGUACGUGGAUAUUUUUAAUGAAUAAUAGAUCUGAAUUAUUUUCUAUCUUUGAGCAAUUUUACCAAGAAAUCAAAACUCAAUUUGGUGUGU
Molecule: long non-coding RNA, 623 nt
Filed under: Trifolium pratense (red clover)
Lineage: Eukaryota; Viridiplantae; Streptophyta; Magnoliopsida; Fabales; Fabaceae
Description: long non-coding RNA (TPRA_LNC001470)
Source: RNAcentral